Molecule: unclassified non-coding RNA, 338 nt
Filed under: uncultured bacterium
Lineage: Bacteria
Description: contains 16S-23S intergenic spacer region
Source: RNAcentral
CAAGAAGACCUACAGCAACAAGAAGGGUGGACCCGGCAAGCGCCAGACCCGGCGCGCGGAAUCCGCCAAAAAACGCGAAGCACGCAAGGCAUGAUUUUGAUGUCCCCCGCUCGCAAGGGCGGGGCGGCAUCCCCAUAUAGGGUCGAUCCCGGUAUGGGGAAACUGGUCUGGCCGGGUAUCGGCGUGUUUCUGGGAGCAGCUUGAUGGCGUCCGCAGCCGAACAAUUGGCAGCCAAUUUCAACUUUGGCUCCAUCGCCAAGGCCAAGGAGCUGCGCAGCCGCAUCUUCUUCACCCUGGGCGCCCUGGUCGUGGCGCGCCUGGGCAGCUACAUCCCCCUG